RNAcentral lists this ribosomal RNA (468 nucleotides) under uncultured bacterium. RNAcentral describes it as "partial 16S ribosomal RNA". It matches the Rfam family "Bacterial small subunit ribosomal RNA", at positions 28 to 507 of the family's 1533-position model. The record is from RNAcentral.
GACGAACGCUGGCGGCGUGCUUAACACAUGCAAGUCGAGCGGAAAGGCCCUGCCUUUGUGGGGUGCUCGAGUGGCGAACGGGUGAGUAACACGUGAGUAACCUGCCCUUGACUUUGGGAUAACUCCAGGAAACUGGGGCUAAUACCGGAUAGGAGCUCCUGCUGCAUGGUGGGGGUUGGAAAGUUUCGGCGGUUGGGGAUGGACUCGCGGCUUAUCAGCUUGUUGGUGGGGUAGUGGCUUACCAAGGCUUUGACGGGUAGCCGGCCUGAGAGGGUGACCGGCCACAUUGGGACUGAGAUACGGCCCAGACUCCUACGGGAGGCAGCAGUGGGGAAUAUUGCACAAUGGGCGGAAGCCUGAUGCAGCAACGCCGCGUGCGGGAUGACGGCCUUCGGGUUGUAAACCGCUUUCGCCUGUGACGAAGCGUGAGUGACGGUAAUGGGUAAAGAAGCACCGGCUAACUACGUG